This 420-nucleotide ribosomal RNA is filed under the name uncultured bacterium. RNAcentral's name for it is "bacterial SSU rRNA". It matches the Rfam family "Bacterial small subunit ribosomal RNA", at positions 355 to 774 of the family's 1533-position model. The record is from RNAcentral.
UAAGGAAUAUUGCUCAAUGGGAGAAAUCCUGAAGCAGCAACGCCGCGUGGAGGAUGAAGGGUCUAUGACUUGUAAACUCCUGUAAAGAAGGAAAAAAUUCCCAUUAGAUGGGAGAUGAUGGUACUUCUGGAGUAAGCCCCGGCUAACUACGUGCCAGCAGCCGCGGUAAUACGUAGGGGGCAAGCGUUGUCCGGAUUUACUGGGUGUAAAGGGUGCUCAGGCGGAUUUGUAAGUCAGAGGUGAAAUCUUACAGCUUAACUGUGAAACUGCCUUUGAUACUGCAAGCCUAGAGUAUGGAAGAGAGUGAUGGAAUAUCUGGUGUAGCAGUGAGAUGCGUAGAUAUCAGAUAGAACACCAAUGGCGAAGGCAGUCACUUGGUCCAUUACUGACGCUAAAGCACGAAAGCGUGGGUAGCAAACA